CUGACGAGUGCCGCACGGAUGAGUAAUGUCUGGGAAACUGCCUGAUGGAGGGGGAUAACUACUGGAAACGGUAGCUAAUACCGCAUAACGUCGCAAGACCAAAGAGGGGGACCUUCGGGCCUCUUGCCAUCGGAUGUGCCCAGAUGGGAUUAGCUAGUAGGUGGGGUAACGGCUCACCUAGGCGACGAUCCCUAGCUGGUCUGAGAGGAUGACCAGCCACACUGGAACUGAGACACGGUCCAGACUCCUACGGGAGGCAGCAGUGGGGAAUAUUGCACAAUGGGCGCAAGCCUGAUGCAGCCAUGCCGCGUGUAUGAAGAAGGCCUUCGGGUUGUAAAGUACUUUCAGCGGGGAGGAAGGCGAUAAGGUUAAUAACCUUGUCGAUUGACGUUACCCGCAGAAGAAGCACCGGCUAACUCCGUGCCAGCAGCCGCGGUAAUACGGAGGGUGCAAGCGUUAAUCGGAAUUACUGGGCGUAAAGCGCACGCGGGCGGUCUGUCAAGUCGGAUGUGAAAUCCCCGGGCUCAACCUGGGAACUGCAUUCGAAACUGGCAGGCUAGAGUCUUGUAGAGGGGGGUAGAAUUCCAGGUGUAGCGGUGAAAAUGCGUAGAGAUCUGGAGGAAUACCGGGUGGCGAAGGCGGCCCCCUGGACAAAGACUGACGCUCAGGUGCGAAGCGUGGGGGAGCAAACAGGAUUAGAUACCCUUGGUAGUCCACGCCGUAAACGAUGUCGACUUGGAGGUUGUGCCCUUUGAGGCGGGCUUCCGGGAGCUAACGCGUUAAGCCGACCGCCU
This 794-nucleotide ribosomal RNA is filed under the name Enterobacter hormaechei. Its description in RNAcentral is "bacterial SSU rRNA". It matches the Rfam family "Bacterial small subunit ribosomal RNA", at positions 88 to 874 of the family's 1533-position model. Lineage: Bacteria; Pseudomonadati; Pseudomonadota; Gammaproteobacteria; Enterobacterales; Enterobacteriaceae. The record is from RNAcentral.